GACGAACGCUGGCGGCGUGCUUAACACAUGCAAGUCGAACGGAAAGGCCCUGCGUUUGUUGCGUGCUCGUGUGGCGAGCGGGGGAGUAACACGUGAGUAACCUGCCCUUGACUUUGGGAUAACUUCAGGAAACUGGGGCUAAUACCCGAUAUGAUCUCCUGCUGCAUGGUGGGGGUUGGAAAGUUUCGGCUGUUGGGGAUGGACUCGCGGCUUAUCAGCUUGUUGGUGGGGUAGUGGCUUACCACGGCUUUGACGGGUAGCCCGCCUGAGAGGGUGACCGGGCACAUUGGGACUGAGAUAGGGACCAGAAUCCUACGGGCGGCAGCAGUGGGAAACAUUGCACAAUGGGCCGACGCCUGAUACAGCAACGUCGGGUGCGGGAUGACCGCUUUCGGGUUAUAAACAGAUUUCGAAUGUAACGAAGACUGAGUGACGGUAAUGGGUCAAGAAGCAACGGCUAACUACGUG
This 468-nucleotide ribosomal RNA is filed under the name uncultured bacterium. RNAcentral describes it as "partial 16S ribosomal RNA". It matches the Rfam family "Bacterial small subunit ribosomal RNA", at positions 28 to 507 of the family's 1533-position model. The record is from RNAcentral.